AUUGGAUUCAAUGAAGAUCAAUAUGGCUCUCUAUCUGUUGUGUGCUGCUUUAGCUUUAAGUCUGCUUGUUAUCGCCUUUCUGAUUUAUUCAGUCAAGAAACUGAAGCGAGAAUCACAUGCGUAUUGUGAUGAUACAGCUGCGGUUGCUCUGCAAACAAAUGCACCAGACAGUGGAAUUCAGGAAAACCAGCAGACAGAUGAGGAAUCUUUGGUUUAUUCUGCACCGACUUUCAUUAAUAGAAAAGCUACUAAAACAGGGAGAAGGAAGACAACACCUACAGAGGAGGAGAGCAUCUACACUGAUGUCAAGAUUCAUGGAUGAACAUCUUGACACCGGAUUUACUUCACUAUGAUUUUGUUGAACAUUGUGGUAAAUGUGUUUUCGUUUUUCCUUUUGGAUGAUCUAAAAGCAUUCUUAUAUAUCUGAUCAUUUUUGUGUGCAAAGAGAAAGAAUCAUGAUGCAACAUACCGUUAAUUAAAUCAGUUUAGAUGUUGCAGUAGACAUAAGUACAAUGUAUCCCAUAAGAACUUUUGUUAAAGCUGUGCACCGAGAGAAUAUUUUCCUAAAUAUAUUUACGGACGGUUGAUGUAUAUGUACGUAUUUCUUCAUGACUCAUAUCUACACCUCACUGCCAUGUCAACACAAUAAACUGAAAGGAAAUGCUGGUUUUGUAGAUGUGUUGCUUUUUAGUUAUUAAUCAAUUAUAUCAAUCAACCUUCAUUUAAAGUUGGAGCUACACUGAGGCACAGGACACGUGGUUUAAUUGCUUUUAUGACAUCUAUUUUUAAUCUGCUAUUUUCAGUUGUGAUGUGUUUAUUUUAGAAACACCUCAAUCAAUGUAAGUUGCUUUGUGUUAAUUAAA
Molecule: long non-coding RNA, 863 nt
Organism: Amphiprion ocellaris (clown anemonefish)
Lineage: Eukaryota; Metazoa; Chordata; Actinopteri; Pomacentridae
Exons: 3
Source: RefSeq, a predicted model, not a curated record